RNAcentral lists this ribosomal RNA (399 nucleotides) under uncultured bacterium. RNAcentral describes it as "partial 16S ribosomal RNA". It matches the Rfam family "Archaeal small subunit ribosomal RNA", at positions 473 to 873 of the family's 1478-position model. The record is from RNAcentral.
AUACCAGCUCUCCGAGUGGUGUGGAUGUUUAUUGGGCCUAAAGCAUCCGUAGCUGGCUAGGUCAGUCCCUUGUCAAAUCCACCGAAUUAAUCGUUGGAUCGCGGGGAUACUGCUUGGCUAGGGGACGAGAGAGGCAGACGGUAUUUUCGGGGGAGGGGUGAAAUCCUAUAAUCCCGAGAAGACCACCAGUGGCGAAGGCUGUCUGCUAGAACGCGCCCGACGGUGAGGGAUGAAAGCUGGGGGAGCGAACCGGAUUAGAUACCCGGGUAGUCCCAGCUGUAAACGAUGCAGACUAGGUGUUUGGACGGCCACGUGCCGUUCUAGUGCCGCAGGGAAGCUGUUAAGUCUGCCGCCUGGGGAGUACGAUCGCAAGAUUGAAACUUAAAGGAAUUGACGGGG